Molecule: unclassified non-coding RNA, 202 nt
Filed under: plant metagenome
Description: partial contains small subunit ribosomal RNA, internal transcribed spacer 1, and 5.8S ribosomal RNA
Source: RNAcentral
GUCUCCGUUGGUGAACCAGCGGAGGGAUCAUUAUCGAGUUUAUAACUCCCAAACCCUAUGUGAGCUUACCACUUGUUGCUUCGGCGCGCGCUUCGGUGCCGCCGAGGACACUUAAACUCUUUGUUUUUAUAAGCAUUUCUGAGUGGCCGAAAGGCAAAAUACAAAUGAAUCAAAACUUUCGACAACGGAUCUCUUGGUUCUG